CCCGCGCGCCCGGGUGGGGGCGUCCAGGGCCCGGUCCCCGGCUGGCCUGGGGCGAGGGCGCAGCCGGGAGAUUCCGGGGCUGCCGGGCGGUGGCCUCUCGCCGGCCCCUCUCUCCUCCCCGCGGGCUCUCCGCACUGCCCGGGCUACGGGCGGCCACGCCGAGGCUCCGAGAGAAAGGAAAAUUGCAAACCUCACCUACAACUAGACUGAGAGCAUAAUUUCUUAGGAAUCAAGAAUCAACACUGGGUUAUUUCUUAAGAUUAAACCUUGAAAGCCCACUUGGAGGCUGCAGCAGGGGAGCAUAGCCAUCUACACACUUGAGAAUGAAAAAUGAUCUUCUUUCGUCAGGGAGGUCUCCUUCCUCAGCUAACCCACCGGAGUGGUGAGAAGAAGGGCCCCCUACCCAAUCGAACUCACCUAGAUGAAUAAAAUUGGCCCUUUUUAGCAAGGAAUGGGAGCUGCACAAGGGUGGCCAGAUCACAUCUUCUGCUAACUCCACCACAGAGCAACUCUCUCCAGGACUACAACCUAUGUUUGGGUCAUGCCCUAUACAAGGGCACCUGGAGUGGGAGGUGAAAUCCUGCCCUGGCUUCACUCACCAAGCAGGGUGUAUUGGUAUGUGGCUAUAUUUACCUGAAGGAUGUGGAUCCUUUUUCUAAUUUGCACCAAGACUUAUUUGCACCUUGUAUGGGCUAGUGCCAACUCUGACCAACCCACCCCCCUACCUGAGUCCUGUCUAGGGUAUAUGCCUUACUUUGGAUGAAGUAGUGAUUAUCAUGAACAAAUUAGGCUUAUGGUAAAAGAUGAAAUAUUUGAUGCAAAUUGAAAUUAAUUUCAUAGGUAAAGCCCAGAAUCUUACCAUGAAUGUGAAUUAUGUAUGUAUGUAUAUGUGUGUGUAUAUAUAGUUACAUGGGUAUGUAUUUUUAUGUAUAAGAAGUUAGGAUAAUUUAAAUUUGGUAAGUAUUUAAAAUAAAACUAUUUUGAGUUUCGGAA
Lemur catta (Ring-tailed lemur) is the source of this 993-nucleotide long non-coding RNA. RefSeq lists it as uncharacterized. The transcript is spliced from 2 exons. Lineage: Eukaryota; Metazoa; Chordata; Mammalia; Primates; Lemuridae. The record is from RefSeq and is a predicted model, not a curated record.